RNAcentral lists this ribosomal RNA (253 nucleotides) under uncultured bacterium. RNAcentral describes it as "partial 16S ribosomal RNA". It matches the Rfam family "Bacterial small subunit ribosomal RNA", at positions 524 to 776 of the family's 1533-position model. The record is from RNAcentral.
UACGAAGGGGGCUAGCGUUGCUCGGAAUUAUUGGGCGUAAAGAGCUCGUAGGUGGCCUGUCGCGUCGGCUGUGAAAACUCGGGGCUCAACUCCGAGCUUGCAGUCGAUACGGGCAGGCUAGAGUUCGGCAGGGGAGACUGGAAUUCCUGGUGUAGCGGUGGAAUGCGCAGAUAUCAGGAGGAACACCGGUGGCGAAGGCGGUUCUCUGGGCAUGUCCUGACGCUGAGGAGCGAAAGUGUGGGGAGCGAACAGG